AACGAACGCUGGCGGCAUGCCUAACACAUGCAAGUCGAACGAGACGUCCGGGUCUAGUGUCCCACGGUUGCGUAAGGCGUGGGAACAUGCCCUCAGGCUCGGCAUAACUCUCCGACGGGGGUGCUAAUACGGGACAAUGUCUUCGUACUAAUGAUGUAUUGCCUUUGGAUGGGCCCGCGUUGGAUUAGGUCGUGGGUAGGGUAAAAGCCUACCAAGGCGUCGAUCCAUAGCUGGUCGGAGAGGAUGAUCAGCCAGACUGGGACUGAGACACGGCCCAGACGCCUAGGAGAGGCAGCAAUGGGGAAUAUUGGACAAUGAGCGAGAGCCUGAACCAGCAAGGCCGCGAGAGUGAUGAAGGCGUUAGGAACGUAAAGCUCUUUUACCGGGGAUGAUAAUGACAGUACCAGAAAAAUAGGCUCCGGCUAACUCCGG
Molecule: ribosomal RNA, 432 nt
Filed under: uncultured bacterium
Lineage: Bacteria
Description: partial 16S ribosomal RNA
Rfam family: Bacterial small subunit ribosomal RNA
Source: RNAcentral